UACGUAGGUGGCAAGCGUUGUCCGGAUUUACUGGGCGUAAAGGGCGCGCAGGCGGCUGGUCAAGUCCGAUGUGAAAGCUCCCGGCUUAACUGGGAAACGGCAUCGGAAACUGAUCGGCUUGAAGGUGGGAGAGGGUAGUGGAAUUCCCGGUGUAGUGGUGAAAUGCGUAGAUAUCGGGAGGAACACCAGUGGCGAAGGCGACUACCUGGCCCACUCUUGACGCUGAGGCGCGAAAGCUAGGGGAGCGAACGGG
Molecule: ribosomal RNA, 253 nt
Filed under: uncultured bacterium
Lineage: Bacteria
Description: partial 16S ribosomal RNA
Rfam family: Bacterial small subunit ribosomal RNA
Source: RNAcentral